Molecule: ribosomal RNA, 448 nt
Filed under: uncultured bacterium
Lineage: Bacteria
Description: partial 16S ribosomal RNA
Rfam family: Bacterial small subunit ribosomal RNA
Source: RNAcentral
CCCAGACUCCUACGGGAGGCAGCAGUGGGGAAUAUUGGGCAAUGGGCGCAAGCCUGACCCAGCGACGCCGCGUGAGGGAAGACGGUCUUCGGAUUGUAAACCUCUUUCAGCAGGGAAGACAAAAGGACGGUACCUGCAGAAGAAGCCCCGGCUAACUACGUGCCAGCAGCCGCGGUAAUACGUAGGGGGCAAGCGUUAUCCGGAUUCACUGGGUGUAAAGGGAGCGUAGACGGCGACGCAAGUCUGGAGUGAAAGCCCGGGGCCCAACCCCGGGACUGCUCUGGAAACUGCGGCGCUGGAGUACGGGAGGGGCAGGCGGAAUUCCUGGUGUAGCGGUGAAAUGCGUAGAUAUCAGGAGGAACACCGGCGGCGAAGGCGGCCUGCUGGACCGUGACUGACGUUGAGGCUCGAGAGCGUGGGGAGCAAACAGGAUUAGAUACCCUGGUAU